UGGCGGCGUGCCUAACACAUGCAAGUCGAGCGAAGUAUCCGGAGCUGAACCUUUCGGGGGGACGCACCGGAUAUCUUAGCGGCGGACGGGUGAGUAACGCGUGAGAAACCUGCCUUUUACAAAGGGAUAGCCUCUGGAAACGGGGAUUAAUACCUUAUGACACUCUUUGAUCGCAUGAAUGAAGAGUCAAAGCGCAAAGCGGUAAAAGAUGGUCUCGCGUCCCAUUAGCUAGUUGGUGAGAUAAAAGCCUACCAAGGCAAUGAUGGGUAGCCGGCCUGAGAGGGUGAACGGCCACACUGGAACUGAGACACGGUCCAGACUCCUACGGGAGGCAGCAGUGGGGAAUAUUGCACAAUGGAGGAAACUCUGAUGCAGCGACGUCGCGUGAACGAUGAAGGCUUUCGGGUCGUAAAGGUCUGUCCUUGGGGAAGAUAAUGACGGUACCCAAGGAGGAAGCCCCGGCUAACUACGUGCCAGCAGCCGCGGUAAUACGUAGGGGGCGAGCGUUGUCCGGAUUUAUUGGGCGUAAAGGGUUCGCAGGCGGCCUUUUAAGUCAGGUGUGAAAGAUCACAGCUCAACUGUGGUAAGCACUUGAAACUGGAAGGCUUGAGUUAAGGAGAGGAAAGUGGAAUUCCUAGUGUAGCGGUGAAAUGCGUAGAUAUUAGGAGGAAUACCAGUGGCGAAGGCGACUUUCUGGACUUAUACUGACGCUGAGGAACGAAAGCGUGGGGAGCAAACAGGAUUAGAUACCCUGGUAGUCCACGCCGUAAACGAUGAGUGCUAGGUGUCGSGUGUCAAAGCUCGGUGCCGCAGCUAACGCAUUAAGCACUCCGCCUGGGGAGUACGUACGCAAGUAUGAAACUCAAAGGAAUUGACGGGGACCCGCACAAGCAGCGGAGGAUGUGGUYUAAUUCGAAGCAACGCGAAGCACCUUACC
Molecule: ribosomal RNA, 937 nt
Filed under: uncultured feedlot manure bacterium B37
Lineage: Bacteria
Description: bacterial SSU rRNA
Rfam family: Bacterial small subunit ribosomal RNA
Source: RNAcentral